RNAcentral lists this ribosomal RNA (615 nucleotides) under Aepopsis robinii. RNAcentral's name for it is "SSU rRNA". It matches the Rfam family "Eukaryotic small subunit ribosomal RNA", at positions 20 to 603 of the family's 1831-position model. Lineage: Eukaryota; Metazoa; Arthropoda; Insecta; Coleoptera; Carabidae. The record is from RNAcentral.
GUAGUCAUAUGCUUGUCUCAAAGAUUAAGCCAUGCAUGUCUCAGUACAAGCCAAAUUAAGGUGAAACCGCGAAAGGCUCAUUAAAUCAGUUAUGGUUCCUUAGAUCGUACCCACAUUUACUUGGAUAACUGUGGUAAUUCUAGAGCUAAUACAUGCAAACAGAGCUCCGACCGGAGACGGAAGGAGUGCUUUUAUUAGAUCAAAACCAAUCGGCGGCAAUUUAGUUUCCACUUUAUUGUUCGUCGCACUUUUUGGUGACUCUGAAUAACUUUUGGCUGAUCGCACGGUCUCGCACCGGCGACGCAUCUUUCAAAUGUCUGCCUUAUCAACUGUCGAUGGUAGGUUCUGCGCCUACCAUGGUUGUAACGGGUAACGGGGAAUUAGGGUUCGAUUCCGGAGAGGGAGCCUGAGAAACGGCUACCACAUCCAAGGAAGGCAGCAGGCGCGCAAAUUACCCACUCCCGGCACGGGGAGGUAGUGACGAAAAAUAACGAUACGGGACUCAUCCGAGGCCCCGUAAUCGGAAUGAGUACACUUUAAAUCCUUUAACAAGGACCAAUUGGAGGGUAAGUCUGGUGCCAGCAGCCGCGGUAAUUCCAGCUCCAAUAGCGUAUA